RNAcentral lists this ribosomal RNA (465 nucleotides) under Vreelandella stevensii. RNAcentral describes it as "partial 16S ribosomal RNA". It matches the Rfam family "Bacterial small subunit ribosomal RNA", at positions 338 to 795 of the family's 1533-position model. The record is from RNAcentral. Lineage: Bacteria; Pseudomonadati; Pseudomonadota; Gammaproteobacteria; Oceanospirillales; Halomonadaceae.
CCUACGGGUGGCAGCAGUGGGGAAUAUUGGACAAUGGGCGAAAGCCUGAUCCAGCCAUGCCGCGUGUGUGAAGAAGGCCUUCGGGUUGUAAAGCACUUUCAGUGGGGAAGAAAGCCUUGGGGCUAAUACCCUCGAGGAAGGACAUCACCCACAGAAGAAGCACCGGCUAACUCCGUGCCAGCAGCCGCGGUAAUACGGAGGGUGCGAGCGUUAAUCGGAAUUACUGGGCGUAAAGCGCGCGUAGGCGGUCUGAUAAGCCGGUUGUGAAAGCCCCGGGCUCAACCUGGGAACGGCAUCCGGAACUGUCAGGCUAGAGUGCAGGAGAGGAAGGUAGAAUUCGCGGUGUAGCGGUGAAAUGCGUAGAGAUCGGGAGGAAUACCAGUGGCGAAGGCGGCCUUCUGGACUGACACUGACGCUGAGGUGCGAAAGCGUGGGUAGCAAACAGGAUUAGAUACCCUUGUAGUC